This is a long non-coding RNA of Salmo trutta (river trout), 1754 nucleotides long. Lineage: Eukaryota; Metazoa; Chordata; Actinopteri; Salmoniformes; Salmonidae. The record is from Ensembl.
GACCAGUAAUGGUAGUGUCUCUCUCUCCUCACUGUGACCAGUAAUGGUAGUGUCUCUCUCUCUCUCCUCACCAUGACCAGUAAUGGUAGUGUCUCUCUCUCUCCUCACUGUGACCAGUAAUGGUAGUGUCUCUCUCUCCUCACCGUGACCAGUAAUGGUAGUGUCUCUCUCUCUCCUCACUGUGACCAGUAAUGGUAGUGUCUCUCUCUCCUCACUGUGACCAGUAAUGGUAGUGUCUCUCUCUCCUCACCGUGACCAGUAAUGGUAGUGUCUCUCUCUCUCCUUACUGUGACCAGUAAUGGUAGUGUCUCUCUCUCUCUCCUCACUGUGACCAGUAAUGGUAGUGUCUCUCUCCUCACUGUGACCAGUAAUGGUAGUGUCUCUCUCUCUCUCCUCACUGUGACCAGUAAUGGUAGUGUCUCUCUCUCCUCACCGUGACCAGUAAUGGUAGUGUCUCUCUCUCUCCUCACUGUGACCAGUAAUGGUAGUCUCUCUCUCUUUCCUCACUGUGACCAGUAAUGGUAGUGUCUCUCUCUCCUCACUGUGACCAGUAAUGGUAGUGUCUCUCUCUCUCCUCACUGUGACCAGUAAUGGUAGUGUCUCUCUCUCUCUCCUCACUGUGACCAGUAAUGGUAGUGUCUCUCUCUCUCUCCUCACUGUGACCAGUAAUGGUAGUGUCUCUCUCUCUCUCCUCACUGUGACCAGUAAUGGUAGUGUCUCUCUCUCUCCUCACUGUGACCAGUAAUGGUAGUGUCUCUCUCUCUCCUCACUGUGACCAGUAAUGGUAGUGUCUCUCUCUCCUCACUGUGACCAGUAAUGGUAGUGUCUCUCUCUCUCUCCUCACUGUGACCAGUAAUGGUAGUGUCUCUCUCUCCUCACUGUGACCAGUAAUGGUAGUGUCUCUCUCUCUCUCCUCACUGUGACCAGUAAUGGUAGUGUCUCUCUCUCUCUCCUCACUGUGACCAGUAAUGGUAGUGUCUCUCUCUCUCACUGUGACCAGUAAUGGUAUGUCUCUCUCUCUCCUCCUCCUCACUGUGACCAGUAAUGGUAGUGUCUCUCUCUCUCUCCUCCUCACUGUGACCAGUAAUGGUAGUGUCUCUCUCUCUCUCCUCACUGUGACCAGUAAUGGUAGUGUCUCUCUCUCUGUCUCUCUCUCUGCUCACUGUGACCAGUAAUGGUAGUGUCUCUCUCUCUCUCAUCACUGUGACCAGUAAUGGUAGUGUCUCUCUCUCUCUCCUCACUGUGACCAGUAAUGGUAGUGUCUCUCUCUCUCCUCACUGUGACCAGUAAUGGUAGUGUCUCUCUCUCCUCACUGUGACCAGUAAUGGUAGUGUCUCUCUCUCUCUCCUCACCAUGACCAGUAAUGGUAGUGUCUCUCUCUCUCCUCACUGUGACCAGUAAUGGUAGUGUCUCUCUCUCCUCACCGUGACCAGUAAUGGUAGUGUCUCUCUCUCUCCUCACUGUGACCAGUAAUGGUAGUGUCUCUCUCUCCUCACUGUGACCAGUAAUGGUAGUGUCUCUCUCUCCUCACCGUGACCAGUAAUGGUAGUGUCUCUCUCUCUCCUUACUGUGACCAGUAAUGGUAGUGUCUCUCUCUCUCUCCUCACUGUGACCAGUAAUGGUAGUGUCUCUCUCCUCACUGUGACCAGUAAUGGUAGUGUCUCUCUCUCUCUCCUCACUGUGACCAGUAAUGGUAGUGUCUCUCUCUCCUCACCGUGACCAGUAAUGGUAGUGUCUCUCUCUCUCUCCUCACU